GACGAACGCUGGCGGCGUGCUUAACACAUGCAAGUCGAACGAACACGCCCGAACUUUCUCGGUCUGAAGAGUGGCGAGCGCGGGUGUAACACGUGUGCAAACCGCCCCUCUCUCUGGGAUAACUUUGGGAAAACGGGGCUAAUAUCCGAGAUGAUAUUUUGACGCGUGUGGUGCGAUAGUAAGUUUUGCGGUGGAUGAUGGGCUUGCGUCCUAUCGGGUUGUUUGUGAGGUAGUGGCUCACGAAGGCGAUGACGGGUAGCCGGCCUGAGAGGGGGACCGGCCACACUGGGACUGAGACACGGCCCAGACUCCAACGGGAGGCAGCGGUGGAGAAUAUUGCACAGUGGCGCAACGCCUGUUACGACGACCCCGGGUGAGGAAUGCCGGCCUUCGGGUUGAAAACCACUUUCAGCAGGAAAAAAGCGAUAGUGACGGUACCUGAAGAAGAAGCGCCGGCUAACUACGUG
RNAcentral lists this ribosomal RNA (467 nucleotides) under uncultured bacterium. RNAcentral's name for it is "partial 16S ribosomal RNA". It matches the Rfam family "Bacterial small subunit ribosomal RNA", at positions 28 to 507 of the family's 1533-position model. The record is from RNAcentral.